CUAAUUGUUGCUGGGGAUGUUUUUUUCUUGCUUUGGGGUACAGGGGACAUAAUCAUAGGGCUGUGUGUGCCAGGCUGUGUGUGUGCCAGGCACUCCCUCAGGGCUGUGUGUGUGCUCGUUCUGUCCACCAGGUUUGCCUCUUGUCAUCAAAUGGAUAAAGUCAAAACUUUGUUUCACUGAGAAAUCUCUCAUCAUUUACUUGCGAUAAAAUUUGAGCAUCCCUUUUGAAGAGUACCAAAAAUAUGUCUCAUAGAUGUAUGUGGCUUAUUUCUGUCCUUCUUCCCUCCCUCUACUCCUUUCUCUCUUUCUGUGCAGCCCCAGCCAGAGGUUUUAUGUUUGAUAACUCCUGUAUCCUGCGUCAAGCCUCUGAUUGGUUAUUCUUGAUUCACUUCCUCUCUCAUCAAGAC
This 407-nucleotide long non-coding RNA is filed under the name Androctonus crassicauda. The record is from RNAcentral. Lineage: Eukaryota; Metazoa; Arthropoda; Arachnida; Scorpiones; Buthidae.